Molecule: ribosomal RNA, 497 nt
Filed under: uncultured bacterium
Lineage: Bacteria
Description: partial 16S ribosomal RNA
Rfam family: Bacterial small subunit ribosomal RNA
Source: RNAcentral
GACGAACGCUGGCGGCGUGCCUAAUACAUGCAAGUAGAACGCUGAAGAGAGGAGCUUGCUCUUCUUGGAUGAGUUGCGCACGGGUGAGUAACGCGUAGGUAACCUGCCUUGUAGCGGGGGAUAACUAUUGGAAACGAUAGCUAAUACCGCAUAACAAUGGAUGACACAUGUCAUUUAUUUGAAAGGGGCAAUUGCUCCACUACAAGAUGGACCUGCGUUGUAUUAGCUAGUAGGUGAGGUAAUGGCUCACCUAGGCGACGAUACAUAGCCGACCUGAGAGGGUGAUCGGCCACACUGGGACUGAGACACGGCCCAGACUCCUACGGGAGGCAGCAGGAGGGAAACUUCGGCAAGGGGGGCAACCCUGACCGAGCAACGCCGCGUGAGGGAAGAAGGGUUUCGGAUCGUAAAGCUCGGUUGUAAGUCAAGAACGGGUGUGAGAGUGGAAAGUUCACACUGUGACGGUAGCUUACCAGAAAGGGACGGCUAACUACGUG